GCUGAGCAGAAGGAGCUGGGGCUGACAGUUCUCCUGAGUGAAAAGGAGUAAAGUAGCGGGGAUGUGGUGGCCGUGCUGACAAUGAGUUUUCUUGAAGGCUUUUUUGGUCCAGUUUGUGAGAUUGAUAUGUCUUUAAUGAUGGAGAAGCCAGGAAAAUGACAGAAAUGAAAACUGAAGAUGGCAAAGUAGAAAAACACCAUCUCUUUAUAAUGGAGAAUCUGUUUCAGGGAAGGUAAAUGUAGCCUUUAAGCAACCUGGAUAGAGGCUAGAGCACCAAGGAAUUAGAAUUGAAUUUAUAGGUCAAAUGGAACUUUACAAUGACAAGAGUAAUGCUCAUGAAUUUAUAAACCUAAUGAAAGAACUAGCCUUACCUGGAGAACUGACUCAGAGAAGAAGUUAUGAUUUUGAGUUUAUGCAAGUUAAAAAGCCAUAUGCAUCUGACAUCGGUGCCAGUGUUCACUUGAGCUUGCCACCUGUCCUGAUGUUAACAACUGUAUUAAGAUAGAAGUGGGCAUUGAAGAUUGUCUACAUAUAUAAUUUGAAUAUAGUAAGUCAAAGUAUCAUUUAAAGCAUGUAAUUGUUGGAAAAAUUUACUUCUUAGUAGUAAGAAUAAAAAUACAACAUAUGGAGUUACAACUGAUCAAAAAAGAGAUCACAGGAAUUGGACCCAGUACCACAGCAGAAACAGAAACAUCACCAAAUAUGAAAUAAUGGAUGGUGCACCAGUAAAAGGUGAAUCAAUUCCAAUGAGACUGUUUUUAGUGGGAUAUGACCCUACUCCAACAAUCAGAUGUGAACCAAAAAGUUUCAGUAAGGUACUUUUUGAAUUUAGUGUUUGUUGAUGAGGAAGACUGAAGGUACUUCAAACAGCAGGAGAUCAUUUUAUGAAGAAAAGCUCCUGAAAAACUGAGGAAACAGAGAAAAAACUUUCACCAGUGAUUUGAAUCUCCAGAAUCACAGGCAUCUGCUCAACAGCCUGAAAUGUGAACUGAAUAGGAGACCAAAAAAAAAAAGCAACAAA
This 1021-nucleotide long non-coding RNA is filed under the name Homo sapiens (human). RNAcentral's name for it is "HSALNT0058928". The record is from RNAcentral. Lineage: Eukaryota; Metazoa; Chordata; Mammalia; Primates; Hominidae.